Molecule: ribosomal RNA, 292 nt
Filed under: uncultured prokaryote
Description: partial 16S ribosomal RNA
Rfam family: Bacterial small subunit ribosomal RNA
Source: RNAcentral
UCGAGGAUCAUUCGCAAUGGGCGAAAGCCUGACGAUGCGACGCUGCGUGGAGGAUGAAGGCCCUCGGGUCGUAAACUCCUGUCAUGAGGGAAGAGGGAAGCGCGGGUAACAUCCGCGCGACUUGACGGUACCUCAAGAGGAAGCCAUGGCUAACUCUGUGCCAGCAGCCGCGGUAAUACAGAGGUGGCGAGCGUUGGUCGGAUUUACUGGGCGUAAAGGGCGCGUAGGCGGCCGCGUGUGUGGGGUGUGAAAUCUCCGGGCUCAACCCGGAAAGUGCGCCCCAAACUGCGCG